Molecule: ribosomal RNA, 559 nt
Filed under: Cytospora salicacearum
Lineage: Eukaryota; Fungi; Ascomycota; Sordariomycetes; Diaporthales; Cytosporaceae
Description: eukaryotic LSU rRNA
Rfam family: Eukaryotic large subunit ribosomal RNA
Source: RNAcentral
AUUGCCCUAGUACGGCGAGUGAGCGGCAACAGCUCAAAUUUGAAAGCUGGCUCCGGCCCGCGUUGUAAUUUGCAGAGGAUGCUUCUGGCGAGGUGCCUUCCGAGUUCCCUGGAACGGGACGCCAUAGAGGGUGAGAGCCCCGUAUGGAUGGACACCAAACCUGUGUGAAGCUCCUUCAACGAGUCGAGUAGUUUGGGAAUGCUGCUCUAAAUGGGAGGUAAAUCUCUUCUAAAGCUAAAUACCGGCCAGAGACCGAUAGCGCACAAGUAGAGUGAUCGAAAGAUGAAAAGCACCUUGAAAAGGGGGUUAAACAGUACGUGAAAUUGUUGAAAGGGAAGCGCUUGUGACCAGACUUGCGCCGGGCAGCUCAUCAGGGGUUCUCCCCUGUGCACUCUGCCCGGCUCAGGCCAGCAUCGGUUCUCGUGGGAGGAUAAGAACGGUAGGAACGUGGCCCCCCUCCGGGGGGGUGUUAUAGCCUGCCGUACGAUACUCCCGUGGGGACCGAGGUUCGCGCUCCGCAAGGAUGCUGGCGUAAUGGUCAUCAGCGACCCGUCUUGGC